GACGAACGCUGGCGGCGUGCUUAACACAUGCAAGUCGAACGGAAAGGCCCUGCUUUUGUGGGGUGCUCGAGCGGCGAACGGGUGAGUAACACGUGAGUAACCUGCCCUUGACUUUGGGAUAACUUCAGGAAACUGGGGCUAAUACCGGAUAGGAGCUCCUGCUGCAUGGUGGGGGUUGGAAAGUUUCGGCGGUUGGGGAUGGACUCGCGGCUUAUCAGCUUGUUGGUGGGGUAGUGGCUUACCAAGGCUUUGACGGGUAGCCGGCCUGAGAGGGUGACCGGCCACAUUGGGACUGAGAUACGGCCCAGACCCCUACGGGAGGCAGCAGUGGGGAAUAUUGCACAAUGGGCGGAAGCCUGAUGCAGCAACGCCGCGUGCGGGAUGACGGCCUUCGGGUUGUAAACCGCUUUCGCCUGUGACGAAGCGUGAGUGACGGUAAUGGGUAAAGAAGCACCGGCUAACUACGUG
Molecule: ribosomal RNA, 468 nt
Filed under: uncultured bacterium
Lineage: Bacteria
Description: partial 16S ribosomal RNA
Rfam family: Bacterial small subunit ribosomal RNA
Source: RNAcentral